Molecule: ribosomal RNA, 379 nt
Filed under: uncultured eukaryote
Lineage: Eukaryota
Description: partial 18S ribosomal RNA
Rfam family: Eukaryotic small subunit ribosomal RNA
Source: RNAcentral
CAAUAGCGUAUAUUUAAGUUGUUGCAGUUAAAAAGCUCGUAGUUGGAUUUCGGGUAGGAUUUGCCGGUCCGUCUUUGAGAUGUGUACUGGUAAGUCCUAUCUUCUUGUCGGGGACCAGCUCCUGGGCUUCACUGUCCGGGACUGGGAGCCGACGAAGUUACUUUGAGUAAAUUAGAGUGUUCAAAGCAAGCCUACGCUCUGAAUAUAUUAGCAUGGAAUAACGCGAUAGGACUCUGGCUUAUCUUGUUGGUCUGUGAGACCAGAGUAAUGAUUAAGAGGGACAGUCGGGGACAUUCGUAUUUCAUUGUCAGAGGUGAAAUUCUUGGAUUUACGCAAGACAAACAGCUGCGAAAGCGUCUGCCAAGGAUGUUUUCAUUGA